CAUUACCGAAUUGUUAACACGAGUUGUUGCUGGUCCUCAAAUGGGGGCAUGUGCACGCUCUGUUUGCACAUCCACUCACACCUGUGCACCCUCCAUAGUUCUGCAGCCUGGGGGCUCUGUCCCCCCUGCUGUGGCUCUAUGUAUUUACACACACACACUGUGAUAAAGUCUUAUGGAAUGUAUGCCGCGUUUAACGCAAUACAAUACAACUUUCAGCAACGGAUCUCUUGGCUCUCGCAUCGAUGAAGAACGCAGCGAAAUGCGAUAAGUAAUGUGAAUUGCAGAAUUCAGUGAAUCAUCGAAUCUUUGAACGCACCUUGCGCCCUUUGGCUAUUCCGAAGGGCAUGCCUGUUUGAGUAUCAUGAACACCUCAACUCUCAUGGCUUGCCAUGACGAGCUUGGACUUUGGGGGUCUUGCCGGCCUGCGGUCGGCUCCUCUCAAACGAAUCAGCUUACCAGUGUUUGGUGGCAUCACAGGUGUGAUAACUAUCUACGCUUGUGGUUUUCCACCAGGCAACCUUCAGUGAUGGAGGUUUGCUGGGGCUCAUAAACGUCUCUCCUCAGUGAGGACAGCUCUUUGAACGUUUG
Molecule: ribosomal RNA, 588 nt
Filed under: uncultured fungus
Lineage: Eukaryota; Fungi
Description: eukaryotic LSU rRNA
Rfam family: 5.8S ribosomal RNA (bases 208-362)
Source: RNAcentral